RNAcentral lists this long non-coding RNA (27261 nucleotides) under Homo sapiens (human). Its description in RNAcentral is "non-protein coding MIR3681HG:26". The record is from RNAcentral. Lineage: Eukaryota; Metazoa; Chordata; Mammalia; Primates; Hominidae.
AGAGCAUGUGAGAUACAGGACUACAGGACAGGAAAAAAAGGACUCUGCUAAGGCCAUGAAGCCCAGGAACUUUCUCCACAUUCUCUAAUCUUUACACAGUCCUAAAGGGUGAGUAGCAUUAAUCCCAUUUGUGUAGAUGAGAAAGUGGGUUCAGAAAGUUUUACUGCUCUAGUGUCACAGACUUAGCAAUGAUAAAGUCCAGGAUUUGUAUCUAGAUUUACUUACCUUCAAUACCAUGAUGGCAAUAAUGGCCAUUUACUGAGCAUCGAACAUGUCCCACAUACUCUAAGGACUUCAUGUCUAUUUCUCUCAUUAUUCUUUGUAAUUCUAUCAUCAUACCAAUUUUAAGGUUAAAAAAAAACAUCCUUAGUGAGGUUUUAUUACUUGUUCAUGUCUAUCUGGGAUGAGACUUUAUAUGAUAAAGAAAAAGCGCAAAGCAAAUGAGAGCUAAAUGUUCCUCUUGCCCAUGCCACAGGUGUUCCAAUAGCACAAUCUUCAAUUACUAGCUUUGAUCUUGAAGAAUUUCAUAAUAAGAACCUAAUAAUUAGGAUGCAAUUGAGGUGCAAUUCUAAGCACUUUCAGAUCAUCAGCAAUCCUUCUGCCAACAAAAGAUUGUGGUGUGGGGCUAACGGACACUUUACAGUUAUCAAAGGAUCACACCCAAGACAGACGGAUUUUUCUAAUUGUAAUUGUCCCUCUUGUCACACCUCACUCACCCAGCUUCAAGGAGUGAAUGCAUGAAAGCUGCUGAGAAGGUGAAUAAUUAUUCCAGGGGACAUGUAUGCAGUUUCAGUACGUUUGAGUUCAGCUCACAUUUAUUGAGAGUGAAUCACCGAAUUACUGGACCAUAGGCAUUGUGUCUGAAUGUUUCCAAAAAUAAUUAUUUAGUAUUCACAAUUAUUUAUGGUAGGUAUUAUUGUUCCCCUCUUUUCUGAUAAGAAAACCUAUCCCAGUGAGGUAUAGGCCAUAAAAAGAUCAAGCAGCAGAAGAAUUUGAACUUAGGCUCUGAUUCUUUUAUUUAUUUAUUUAUUUUGAGCUGGAGUCUCACUCUGUCACCCAGGCUGGAGUGCAGUGGCGUGAUCUCAGCUCACUGCAACCUCUGCCUCCUGGGUUCAAGCAAUUCUCCUGCCUCAGCCUCCCAAGUAGCUGGGAUUUCAGGCUCCCACCACCAUGCCCAGCUAAUUUUUGUAUUUUUAGUAGAGGCAGGGUUUCACCAUGUUGGCCAGGCUGGUCUUGAACUCCUGACCUCAGGUGAUCCGCCUGCCUUAGCCUCCCAAAGUGCUGGGAUUACAGGUGUGAGCCACCACACCCGGUCUAGGCUCUGAUUCUACACCGUAUGUGAUAUGGUUUGGCUGUGUCCUUGCCCAAAUCUCAUCUUGAAUUGUAGAUCUCAUAAUUCCCAUGUGCUGUGGGAGGGACCCAGUGGGAGAUAAUUGCAUCAUGGGAGCGGUUUCUCCCAUAUCGUUCUCAUGGGAGUGAAUGAGUCUCAUGAGAGCUGAUGGUUUUAUAGGGGGAAACCCCUUUCGCUUGGCUCUGAUUCUGUCUUGCCUGCUGCCAUUUAAGAUGUGCUUUUCGACUUCCACCAUGAUUGUGAGGCCUCCCCAGCCACAUGGAACUGUGAGUCCAUUAAACCUCUUUUUCUUUAAAAUUUAUCUGGGUAUGCCUUUAUUAGCAGUGUGAAAGUGGACUAAUACAGUAUGCCUUUAUGACAACACCACCAUACAAACUCAUGCCUUUCUAAUUCUCAUACUUCGGUUAUGACAUGGUUUACUGAGUGUCUGGUUGUGCCCAGGCCUGUGCCCAAUCAACCCGUCUAUACCUUAGGAAGCUGGAGUCCUUAUACACAUAGAAUAAUUUGGUUUGCCUCACGUCCUACAUGAACUGGAAGAAAAAUAGCCUUUUUAAGCCCGUAUUUCAGUUUUCAGUUUUCAUGGCACUCUGAUGGGGAAUGAAGGGGAUGAAAAGGGGCACACCGACCUGCUUCCCAGGCUUCCAGCUGUGUCCAUGAGGUAGUGGGCUGAAAGGAAAUCCACGGCGCUAUUAUGGUAUAAUUUUAACAAGAAAAACACCUUUUUAAAGUUCAUCUGUGCUGCCUUUAUACAGAAAGCAGCGCUGAGGUUCCUGGAACCCCAUUUGUGAUAGGAGCCAUUUGGGAUCGCUUCAUUGCAGGCAUUCAUCUUUCCUCUAGUGUAUUUUUAUCUUCUCUCAGGAUUGUCCACAGAACUUGGACUGCAGAUUCGUUAGGCAGGGACUGGGGCUGCUUUAAGUCAACAUAAAAUUCUGUCAUAUUGUCAGUGCUCAUUACGUCUUCUAUAACAUAUUGUACUUAGGGUCUUUUGGUUUUCAAAUAUACUACCAUGCUAUUUUUCAGCAGGCAAGCCUGGGCAGAUAUUUUCUCCAUUGGUCUACAGAUAAUGCUAUUUUCCAUUUUCUGCCUUGGAAAACGUUGACUCUCCAAUAACCAACAUUUGUGAACUAAUUGAUUACAAAUGUCUAUGAGGUCAAUGUUUUCCCGAUUCAAAGAGCUAUCAGCAUUUUAUUUGAUAUAACUUCCAAAAGAGAAUCAUUUUAGGAGUACCUGUACUUACUACAUUGUAUGAGAAUUGUCUGUCACACACCCUGAUUUCCAUGAGCAUGAGACCAGAGAGGUACUUUUCCCCUACAGUGGUUACAGGAGGUUGUACCAUAUGAAAAUGUUUUAAACCAUCUAAUGUCAACAAUUUCGAACAUAAUGAUCGAACAAUUACGGUUCGAUCUAAUACCACAUGUGGAACAUAGCAAGUAACAAAUAAAUAUUUGUUGAUUGGAUGAAUAGAUGGAAUAUAGAUGUCUAGGUAUGCAUUUAGCCAACUAAAACUUAAAAUGGGAGGUGAAACUAUUUACCCAGCAGCAGAAAAUCACUCUCUUCAUAUCGGCAGCAAGUGGGCUCUUGUCUUUGGAGACAAAAACAAAUCAAUGUAUUUUUGCUGCUUCAAUUCAUUCACUUGUUCAUUCAUUGACCCUUUCAGUAAUUAUUUAGCAUCUUAUGUGACGGCACCAUGCCAGCUGAGAAAAUGCAGAGAGCCCACUGUCAAAUGUUGGAGAUGGGGCAGUCACCAGUGUUGGCAGCACACAGAGGAAGUACAUGCCAUGGUAGAAUUAGGUCCAGGAACCAUGAGAAUCUAGAGGACAGGCUCCCAAAACCGGCCGGCUGGUGUGGAGGUGACACAUAAGCUGAGUUCUGAGAUAUCAGUUAGGAGGUAUCUGCCAAGGAAGUUAGGGAAAAUAGAAAUCCUCCAGAAAGAAGAAACCACUUCUUCAAACACCUAGAGGUGCCACUUCCUGGUGAUAGGAAGGUGAGCCCAGACUGAAGAAGGAGGCAGGAGCCAGGCCAGGAAACUCUUUUAAGGAGUUUGUAUUUUAUCUUGAGGGAAAUGGGGAGGCAGUAAAAGGUAUUAAACAAGGCAGUGACCUAUUCAGCUUUAUGUAUUAGUACAGAUCAUCUGAAAAAUGAUUUGAGGAUGUUUUUCAACUAAAAAGUGAACUAAUGGGAGUUUUUGCUGGUAUGGAAUCAAAUUUGUAGCUGAUUUUGAGGCUGUUGCAAUUAGGAUGGCGAAUGGUGAAAAACAGUGUGGUUGAAUUGAACAUAAGCUGAAGGGCUAGACAUCAUGGCUUCAAUCCUUGUGGAGGUAAGAGAGCUGGGACAUCAGACAUCAGCAGGUGGCCUUGGCUCCUUUUCCUUCAUUUAUAAUUUUACUAAAAUCCUUUCAGAAUAAGGGCUGAUCACCACUGGGAAAUUUAAGGCAUAAUCUGCCUUUACUCUAUCCUCCCAUUUUGGGUGGCUAAUCCAGCCACUGUAAUGUAAAGAAGGACCUUGUGGUUCAUAGCUUUUGGUUUCUGGCAUCUAUGUAUGUUUAAUAUUCCACCUUUCUGAACUUAUCUUUACUAUCAAUCAAUGAUCUGCUAGGGGACAGAGAUUUACUCAUGGUUCUUGCAUAGCACGUUGUUUCCUGAUAGGUGUUCAGAAAAGAAAUUUUUUUUAAACUAUUCCAGUUUAAUUGACUGAGAGACUCAAGGUCACAAGCCCAAAUAUUAUUCAAUAACCACAUACCACAUCCUUGCUGAUUUCCAUGACAUAAAACUACAACGUAUAGACAUUGGCUGCCACAGGAGAACAUGAUUUACUGAACCUUCCAAUCUGCUGUGAAAGGGAACCUGAAAUUUGCUGUAAAUUACAAGCCCAAGGAUCAGAACAUAUUCAUCCAUUUCCCUAUGAAUUAGGGGAGACUUGGUGAAGAUAUUUGGCCACACUGGAAAGGGAAAUCUUCCCCUUUCUUGAGGUUUUAUGCUAUGUACUUACUUAUGCCAAUGUCUCAAACACCAUAUGUAGAUACGUGUAGAUGAGAGGGAGUUUAAAAUAAGGAAGAAUGUAGCAGAUUUCAAACAGUUUUUUUCUAUGCCAUUACAUAUACUAUAGUAUUAAAACAUAACAAAAAGGAAAAUAAAAAAAUCUGUUCUAACAAUCUGUUUCAAGAAUCUUGAAAGAUAUACAAAACAAAUCACUCCAGAUGAGACGUAUAUUUCAGUUCCCACCACCUCAACCCAAUAACGACAAUCCCAAGGGCCCAUGAAUGAAGAAGCCAGAAGAGGUCAGCUCAUACAUCCCCUUCCUUUAGACAGGACUGUAAUGAAAUCAUCGUUGACCAAGGCUGUCAAUGGUUCUGGGUGACCAGAGCACAGCAAUCAUUUCCAUUAUUUUCCAUAGAAUGACUUGUGAAUUGCCACCUCCUGCAAAUCCUGUGGCCUAUGAUCUGGACCAAAUCACAUCCAAGUGUCUGAUCAGUUCUGAGAGUGGUUGUGGAUGACCUUAGUAUUCCAGAAGACUGGCUCUGAACGCACACUAGUGCAUCCACAAUGGGACAUCCAUGUGUAAAAAGGAGUGAGGAGCUGGGAUUCUUCAGUGGCCUCCAGCUUUCAUUCCAUACAGGAAUGGGCUCGUUCAUAUGCCUCUGAGAGAGUCAGCUUGGAGACAGGCAAGUCUGGGUUCAAAUCCUGGGUCCAUCCCUAGAUGGUUGAGUGUGGUUCCUUUAUCCUUUAUAACAGGGCCAAUACAUACUUCACUUGGCCUUUGUGAGGACUGGGGGACUGUCCACCUAAGGCAAAAUAAAGACAUCAUUUAUUCACAGUCUUCCUUAGUGAUGCACACAUGUGGCCUGAGAACUAACAUUGAUCUUAGCCUUAGGAUCCCUUCGUUCUACCACUGACAUUAACCCCCAUGUGAUCUUGUGCAUGUCAGUUUCCCUCUCUGAGUUUGAUUGACCCUUUAGUGAGAUUAAUCAAAAUUGAUCUCCAAGUCACUUUCAGCUUUAAAAAAUGCAAAGCUCUACAAAUCAUUCUGAUAUUGGCCCCAAAACCACCUCUUGGCACCUCCUUUGCUUCUCUGCAGUUUUAGGAUCCCCUUGUCUGAUUUCUUAUUCAACUCUGUAAGAUCAUAUCACCAGUCUAGCAACAUCCUGUCCCAUGCCAUUUUAUAAUUUCCUGUUUAAUUGCCUGUUUUGUACCCCUAGACUGUGAAUUACCUGAUGGCAGCAACUGUGUUUCAUUUGCCAUAGUGUUCCAAGUGUUUUGUCAAGGGCUUAAAACAUAGUCAUUGUUCAUUAAAUGCUUUUGUGGAUUAGGAUUAUUAAUUUAUUUACCACAACAUUAUUGAACAUACCUGUUGGCAACUAUAUUCUCUCUUCUAUGGGCAUUGAAAAUAGAGGAUUUCUUAAGUAUUUCUAAUGAUAUGAUUUCAGGUAAAGGCAUCUUUCCCAGGAAACUUCAACCUUCAAUUUCAGUGCAGCUGGCAAAGACAUGUUCAUUCCACCUAUGUAUAAAGACAAGAAAGAUUUUAGCACCCUUGUAAGGGUAGAUUUUCUAAUUUGAAAUUUAUUCAUUUGUUAAACUGUUUGCUAAGUGCCAACUAUUUGUCAUACACAAGACUAGGCAAUGGGGAGACAGAUACUAGAGCAGAAUAAAAAAUAUCUCAGGAUUGGAUUUAGCAGCCAUUUGAACCUGGAAAAGUCCCUUGAAUUUAGUGAGCAUCCCUUUUUUAUCUUUGAAGAUAAAAUUGCCUCUUGUAUCUGAAGAGGUUAUAAUGGAUAUCCUAGGAGAUUUUUGAUGUGAACUUUAUUGGUAAAGUGCAAGUGUCAGAUUAACUAAAGGCAAUGACAAUCCUUCUAGAUGUUUUCCUUCUCUCAAUAAGCAUUGUUUAGAUUCAAUAGCAGCUUAGAACCUAAUAUAUGUAUAAUGUUUCCCUCUAUUUCAGAGCAAUGGAAUAUUCUCAGAAAAUAGACUUGAGAGCAGGUUCUAUAACUUCAUUUCUCUUUAGUUGCUUCUUCCUCUACCCUUCUACCCCCCAGUUUAGUCUACUCAGAUAAAGAAUAAGCACUAUGUUGUUCAUGUUUGUGGUAAGUGAAAACAGUCAACUAAUCACUAAUUUAAUCACUAAUUUUUUCUUUGUGUGUAUUUGACACUCAAGUUCUUUGCCUUUAAUAAUGUUUAAUCAGCAUUUUAUGUUUCUUUUGUACCUUUUUUUUUCUUUUUUUUUGAGAUAGGGUCUCACUCUGUCACCCAGGCUGGAGUGCAGUGGCACAAUCUUGACUCACUGCAACCUCCACCUCCUGGGCUCAAGCCCUCCUCCCACCUCAGCCUCUUGAGUAGCUGAGACUACAGGCAUGCACAACCAUACCUGGCUAAUUUUUGUAUUUUUGUAGUGAUGGAGUUUCUCCAUGCUGCCCAGGCUGGUCUCGAACUCCUGAGCUUGGGUGAUCCACCCCCGUCGGCCUCCCAGAGUACUGGGAUUAUAAGCGUGAGCCACCAUACCUGGCCUCUUUUGUACCUUUCCAGAGAAAUAUCCAUGUCAAUUAUUGACAAUCCUCAUAUUCAGCUUCUUUUAAAGCUGGAGGAGUUGGAGAAACAGCCUGGUCCUCUCCUCUCACCAUUCAUUUGGGAAAGCCAGGGCUUGACAGAUGCUCCCUCCGGAGGAGUGUGUAGUAGGAGAUGAAGUCUGGUGUCAGGUAACCUUGGGAAAGUUACUUACUCUCCCUAAUCUCACCGAUCCUGUGUUCUUUUAAUCUACACAAUAGAGCUACAAGUUCCUAGUCACAUAAAUAUUCUAAGACUGGCAUACAGCAGGAACCAACACAACUCUGUGCCCUGGGGUCGGGUUCCUCAAUGAGGAAAUGGCGGAGCUGGGGCUGUGAUCCAGGACGCUGGUUCUCAAGCCUGCUCCUGUUCCUCUGCCUGUGGUCCUUUCCCUCAUUCCCACACAGGCCUGCAGAUGCUCAGCACUGGUCCAGAAUAGCAACCACCAGGGCAUCCUCCCUGUUUUCUCUCCCUUGGAGGGAAGUGCAGUCAAUGGGGCCUGGGAACACCUAGAUGAGGAGGCACUGUCAUUUGCAAACACUUUUUUUUUUAACUUUAAUUUCUUGCACGGAAAUCAAAGAAAUAUCAUUCAACUAACUUCAUAAUAAGAGGCAAAUGCAGUUUCCUAACCCCAAAAUCUCCAGAGGAUGAGUAUGAAUUGAUGUGCUAGAAUUUGAAGAUGGAAGGGCCUUGACUUUUUAUUAUGAGUGUGAUUAAAUAAAUCCCUCUGGCCACCUCUAAAGCCUCCUCUAAUUCUGUCUCUGCCUAGGGACACAAGAUCAUUUCUUUUCUGAGAUGAUCUUCUGUACAGCCUUUCUGAUAUCUCCACAUUUGCCUACUGUUUUCUUUCCUAUGCUUUUCCGGGAAGUCUUUUUUGUACAAAAUUAACAUGGGUCUGUUUACAUUCAGAAGAUUCUUGGGGUGGGGCAUUACAAUUGCUUGGUUAACCGAUCAGACCAAUUCUUUCUUUGUAUGAUAUACCUUCCUCAUGCACAGCUUCUUCAUUUCUGGUUUAGAAUAGUCAUUGUAUCAACCUGCUUAGCAUGCUGACUUUGCUUAAUUAGCAUUGAGGGGUGCAAACCACUUAAUUCUCUCACACUGCAACUCACACUCACUGCCUUCAGUUAAUUCCUUAAAGAUGAUGAAGUGGAAGGCAGGGAAUAUAGAACUCCCUGCCCCCACCACAAAUCUAAGCAAACAAGGAUGGGACCAGGAGGAAGAACCCAUUUGUGUGGGUCCUCCACAGCUGCUGGCUUAUGUAUUCUUCAGUGUGCCGCUGCAAGGUAUAAAUGGUGCACAUCAUUUUGUAGAUGAGAAGCGGCAUACAGGAGAGGCAGGAUUUGGAUCUAAACCUGUACCAUGAGGUCUCUCAAACUUGGAAUGGGAGGUCAGGAGCCACGUUGUUUUCUUCUCUGUAUCCUGGGUGCCUGUUAUCUUACGGUAGGUGGUCAGUAAACCUGUAACUAAUGAAUGAACAUCUGUAUUGGUAAAAAGACACAGGUUACUAUUGCUCUUCAAGUGGGGUGGGGAUCCGUAGCCAGUAAACCCCAACCCAAGGCCACUUACUGUUUAUGAGACUUAACAGACUUGCGUGUGGAGAGCACCCUUCUGACCUCAUUGUUUACAAAGGAUGUCAAAAGAUGUGGCUAGGGUUAGAGUUAUCUUAGGAGCAGAGCUCUGGGUAAGAGUCAGAUGAUCUUUCUGGGCUCCCGGCACUAAGUUUUAUAUUUGAGCACUAGUUUCUAAACCUCCACAUGAAACCAGCUCUCACUGUGCUGCCAAGCCUGAGACAUUAGGGACUGAAGUUCCCUUGUUCCAAGAGGAUGAGCUUUGUCAAAGGAGGAUGAAUAGACUCUGCUCAUGUUUUGGCUCCAGCAGCCUCCUGCCUAUAGAAGCGUUUUCCUUCACUGGGGCUAGGCUGAACUUCAUUUCAGAGAGGCAUAAAAAGUCUGAGAUCCCCAGGGGAUCUGGCACAGGAAAAUGAAGUCAUUUUACAUUUGUGGCGUGAUUCAAAUUGGAAUCACACAAGUCAGAACGACAGGAUGCUGGAGUACUUUGUUUAGCUCUUCUGUGCUUCAGGAGCUAAGCUUUCUUCAGCUUCCUGGAGAGAGGAAGUGGGUAUGUAUGGAAUACCCAUUUGCUUUCUAUAGUCUUCAAGGUCCUUUUCCCUUACGUAAAACACCAAGCCUAAAUCUUACAUUCAGCUUUUUAGAAGGCAGAACAAGCAGCCAUUGAGCUCUUGCUGUGGGACUGACCCCGCCUUCUGCCUGAUGUCAGUGGGGAUACUGCUUACCUUCCUUCCUGCAAGGAAAUCCACACACUCUUAUUUCAUCCGGCCUGGGGAGGAGGGGAAAGAGGAAGUCACCUGUGAAAUUGUCUUUGCGCUUUGGACUCAAGCCCCCAGGUAGGGCAGUAACAGGUAUUCUAAUCUCUGCAGGUCUCCUUACCUUCCUGUUUGGUCUCGGGUGGUUUGUUUUUGACCUACGUAGCUUAUGGGUUUUCCCUGCUUGGGCUGCUGCCCCCUGGGUCCUUCCCCUCUCUCCCUGCAGCCUUAUGCAGCAACAGCUCCCUGUGCUUUCCCUUCCCUCCUCCUGCUGCUGCAUCUCUGCCUUCGCCCCUAGCAGGUGCUCAUUCGUCACAUCACAUAUGCUACCAUAUUGAAUAAGCACAACAUCCCAGUGGGGGUGGGCUUUGUAGAGAGGAGUCUGAAGUGCAGAGACAAUGAGUGAAUCACUCAGGCUUGCAAAGCUGGUGAAACAAGGAUCCAUCUCUGGUCGGCUUACAAAUAUUCUCCAUGCUCCUUCCACUAACUCAUGAUACGCUUUAAAGUUUACAGUUUAUUCUGUACCAAACGUUAGCCCAGCUGUCUUAGUCAGCUUGGGCUGCUGUAACAAAAUACCAUAGAUUGGGUGGCUUAAACAACAGACAUUUAUUUCUCACAUUCUGGAGGCUGGGAAGUCCAUGAUCAAGGUGCUGGCAGAUUUGGUUCUGAUGAGGGCCCUCUUCCUGGCUUGUAGAGGCAGCCCCGUCACUACGGGCUCACAGGGCAUUUCCCCUGUGUGUGUUCGCACAGAGAUCUCCUUCUCUCUUUUCUUCUUAUAAAGGUAUUAAUUCCAUCAGGAGAACCCCCUUGUGAUAACCAACCUAAAUUUAAUUAACUUCCAUAGGUCCCACCUUCAAAUACCAGCACAUGAGGGGUUAGGAUUUCAACACAGGAAUUUCAGGAGGACACAUUCAGCCCAUAACACCAACCAGUUUUAUUUUUACCAUCCUCUGGAAACAAAAUAAGGAACUUGUAACAUGUUCUUCCCGGGCAUUAGAUGAUCUGAAUGUGUCACCCUCAAACUCAUAUGUUGAAACUUGAUCCCCAAUGUGACAGUAUUUUUAAGAGGUGGGGCUCUUAGGCAUGAUUAGGUCAUGAGGGUGGAGCAAUGGGAUUAGUCCUCUUAUCAAGGGGCUUCAUGCAGUGUCCUCCCCUUUUUCUUUUUUGCCCUUCUGCUAUGUGAGGACACGGUUUCCCUGUGAGGAUGCAGCAAGAAAGCACCAUCUUGGAAGCAGAGAUCCUUCACCAGGCACAGAUUCUGCUGGCACCGAGAUCUUGGACUUCCCAGCCCCCAAACUAUGAGAAAUAAAUUUCUUGUAUUUCUAAAGUACCCAGUCUGUGGUGGUUUUCAUAUAGCAGCAUAAAUGGACUAAGAAAAGGAUGUUCCUGGGGGUCACCAAGUAUCUCACCUGUGUGGUUCCCCAUCGUGAUAGUUGGAUUCAAAGCUGAAGGUUGUCACUGACUUCUGGGUUCUCUCUGCUUGCCUGUCUAGGGCAUUAACUCUGGAAAUACUUUGUUUCUUUGUUCCCAACCAUCCAUCUCAAAUCUCUUUCCCUGCUUUCUCCAAGGAUGUUGUGCAGGUCUUUGUGCAAAUAAGAAUUUCAACCUAUAUUGGAUAAGCCAUAUUUACAGAGGUGAAUUUGAUUUGUAGAUAUGACCUUUUCCUUGCCCAAUGACAGUACCCUGAGGUUGAAGUCUGUUGCUCAGAGAAUUUGGAUGCACUAGCUUCUCCAAAUAUCUGCUCAUCCACACAGCAGAGGGAUAAGAGGAGACCAGUCUGCUUCUCCCUCUUUCCAAUCCCUAAACCUUAUAAUUUGUGUACAAAGGAACUAAUUUUGAAGAGCAGAAGGUCAAGGAAGACUAACAAAAAUCUAUCUUUUUGAAAGAAAGCAGCACUGGAUUUAGGUAGCCAUACAAAUUGUCCCAAGUGGUGUUCUACUCCAAAAUAGUGUGCACACCUUUUUAGCCCUACAAUGAGUUGGUGGCUGACUGUGCCAAGUGCCUGCUUGCAAAGCUUUCCUCUGGAAGGGAGCCCUGGAAAUGCUGAGCAGUGGUGACCCCACAUUGCCUUUGGGGGCUGAAUUGUCACCAGCCACAAAGAUAGAUCCUUUUACCUUUUGCAUAAUCCAGACAUGUGGUUUGGAAGAGAAAUAAUUCAUUUAAAUCUCCCCUGCCUCUCAAUUUUGCAUAAAGUAAAUUCAAUUCCAUUCAAUUUGCACAGAUUUACUGAAAAUGUACUCAGGGUUGGGCCCAAUGUGAGGUGUUGUGGACACAGUGGCACAUAAGACACUGUUUUGGCCCUUGAGGAGCUCAUAGUGCAGAGGGAGAGACAGUCAGGUAAAAAAUGACAUGGUACAGAGAUGAGUCACUCUGUUGUGGCAGUGACAGUAUAACUGUCCAGUGGGUUCUUCUUGCCCACUGCACAAAUAAAGAGCAUGACGUUGCAGUAAAGGAAGAGUUUAAUGGAUGGAAGUCUGGCCAUACCACGUGGGACAUAGAGUUACUACUCAAAUCAAUCUCAUCCAAGGCUCGUAGGUCAGGGGUUUUUCAAAGACAGUCUGUGGGAGAGGGUGGGGGUGGCCAGGUAAUGGGUGUUUGCUGCCGAAUCGGGGCAGAGAUGAAAUUACAGGGGGUCAACAGUGUCCACUUGAGCUCAGUUGCUUCUGGAUGGGGGUCAUAGGAGCAAGGGUCAGUGGGCCCAAGUAGAGCCAUGUGUGUCAGACACGCAAAAAACCUGAAAAGAUAGCUCAAUUGGCCGAUCUUAGGUUCUACAAUAGUGGAGUUAUUUGCAGGAAUGGCUGGCAAUCAUCUAUGUCUACACCUUACCAAAAUUCAGAUUCCCCUUCUCCCCCAGGUGAUGCCCUUUCAUUCACUUUACAGAGGUAGUUGAGUUUGGGGGAAGGCCUAUUAUCAUUUAAACUAUAAACUAAAUGUCUCUCAAAGUUAGCUUAACCCAAAAGCCCAGGAAUAAUUAAGGGAAAGGCAAGAUAAGGAUGGGUUUGAUCAGAUCUUUUACUACCAUAAUUUUGUUACUACUAUAAUUUUUGCAAAGGUGGUUUCAACAGGAUAGCCUGCGUUGACAGGGGAGGGUGUGUAAAGACCCUGGAGAAACCAACAGAGGUGGCCUGGGGGCAGCCACAAUAUCUGAGGCUUGGAGAACACAAAUGUGUUAACCCAGCAGGCCAGAAGCAGUGUGGGUGUGAGGUCAGAUAUGUCACAGGCAGAGAGAACACAUGCUAUCAGCAAAGGCACAGAAUCUGAGAGUCCAGCACGCCAAUGGAACAGAGUGUGGUGUGUGGAAAGAGGGGCACAAAGGGAGGCAAAGCCCAGGAUCGUGGAUCAAGGGUGAUCCAUGCCAUGACAAUAAGGACAACUCCUUAUUGUCAUGCAAUGCUUCCCAAGAUUUUAUUGACAGGGCAGAGACACAAUCAGAACUGUGUAUUAGAAAGAUGUCCCUGGAAGCUAGGGAUAAGAAAGUUUGCAGAGUGAGGCUCAGCAGGGAGCCACGGACUUAGGUGGGAGGCUAUUCCAGGUAUCCAGGAGAGAAAUGGGGAGGCUCUAUGGAGAGUGUGGGAGUAGAAUGAGGCUGGCCUUGAGGAAUGUCAAGAGGGCAGGACUGACAGUUACCACCUGGACGUGAGACACUGGGCAUGGGAAGAGUGCUGCCAGGCAAGUAAGUCUCAGAUCAACACACAUGCGUUGCUAAAGCUACUGACCAAGGCUCUGGCCAGAUUGAUGGCCUCCUGGCGGUGGCCUUUACUGCUCCCCUUGUACACCUGAGGCAGAGUUACUUACAUUAAUGUCUGUGUCUCUUCCACUGCCUUUGCAAACAGAUCCCUGAGUUCUAAGUGAAUCAGAGCCUGCAUGGUACUUUUCCUCUGACUUCAGACUAGUCAUACAUUUUGGAAUUCUUCCAUGUUGAACUUUCACAUCCUGCACAGAACACUCGGGCCCUGAGACAGCCCUACGCCAUUUGGUGAGACCUUUGGUGAAAAGUCAAGGUCUGGGUUUAUGACACAAUAUUUUUUCCUGGUCUAUUUAUCCCUGGCACAGUUCAGAGCUGGCCUAUUGGAACAGGAGGUUCCAGCCUUCUCAUUCACCUGGGCACUCUCUAACCUCAAAUCAAAUUCUACUGUCUCCCAGAUUACAUUCUGAGUUCCUAAAUAUGUGGGGAAAAAUACUCUCAAAUGCCUCCCUAAGAAUACACACAGUCAUAAAGCUCACGUACAUUCAAAUUGCUUUUUAAAAACAAAGACCGUGAAAAACCAAAGCUAUAAAAGUAUGUGAAUCAUCAACCCAGAAAUCAUGCCUCAAGGCACGCCUGACAGCAUGUUCGUUCCCGGAUGCUUUUCCUUCACAAAUUAUGGAGGCUGCCGACAUCCUUCUGGGGAAAGGAUUAUCUGAUUCCGCAGGCAGUUAAGAAUAACAUGUAAAUGUCAUUUAGAUGAGCUAUUUCUACAUGGAUCAAAAGACACACUCAAGUUACCAACUAUGAUAGCCAAACCCUUUAUUUCAAUAAAAUCAGAGCAAACCCACAAAACUCUCCCAACUGAAUUAGCACCAUUGUGGUGUGGGAGGCAUUCAGACAUUCCUUCCAGGUUAGUAGACUAUUUGCAAUUCAGCUGUUUUACUGAUGUGCAUGUUAUAUAACUGCCACCAGCCAUGGGGGAAGCUAGAAUCCAAGGCGUCUCAAAAUUUUCCACUGUGUACUCAAAGCCAACAGGAGAGAGUGAAUGAAUACUCCCUUGCUUUAUGGUGACAUAGCUAAAACUGUCUUUCCAGUAAAUACCAGAGUGAGAGGCAAUGUAACAUAGUGGUUAUAUUUAUGGGUUCUGGGGUAGAGUGUCUUGGAUUUGAAUCCCUAUACGUUUGGGAGCUGCGUGUCUUGGAUAACUUCUGUUGCCUCUCUCAGUUUGGAUUCUUGUUGGCUUCAACGAUUUUAUCUUCCUUAUUGAGUUACUCUGAAGGUUAAGUUAAUAGAUGUUAAUCCUUAAUAUAUGUUAAGUUCCUCUAUUUAAGGGCUCCAUAAAUGUAAGCUAUUGUUUUAAAACAAAACUGUAAGCUCUAUGCCUUGUUUUAAUUCAGGCAAUGUUGCAUUUUGCUGUCUCUGUGUCUCUAAUACAAAAUAAUGUUUCCCUCCAAAUUUCCAGUAGAAUUGACCCUCCCAGGAGAGGUACCAUAUUUGUGCCUGGAUUUGCAUAAAACCAGGUUCACUGCCACAGAUUCCAAGACUGACCUCACCCUAAUGUGAGAAGCACAGUCAGACUGAAGAGAAGGCAGAGAUGCUUCCCUACCAAGGCUCCUUGGAGAUUUAUUGUUGUUUAUUUUCUAGAUAACUGAGUAAAAACCAAUUUUUGUAGGUAAUGUUACCAUGGAAUGGAUUACCUAGUUGCUGUAGUUUAAUGGGUAAUGUCUAGAAAAAUAUAUGUCUCAAAGCUUUGUUGUUUCUAAGGAACUUCACUGGUGACUUUACUUAGUAAGUCAGCACUAUGUAGUACAACGGUCACUGUCCAGAUCUGGAGAUGAAGUAGGUGGAGGGAAUUGUGGUGUAUGUUGCUUAUUACUGUCAAAGAACACUGGCUUCAGAGUCAGGAAACCCGGGGUCUAGGCCUGCCUUUCUCUUGACUUAUUCUGUCAUUUUGCACUUAGGAUUCAAAUGCAGGUGCAUUGAUUCUAGAGCUCAUAACCUUGGCUGUUUCUUUAUACAUCUGAUUAAAAGGCUGUGACUACACUGCACAUGUCUUUUCUGAGCUUGUGAUAGGCCUGCUUAUCUCUGCUGGUUUUUACUUUUAAGAAGCCACUGGAUUGUUAUACAAUCAGUAAACAUGCAUGCUCUCCGUAAAUCAAUCUGGAUCUGCAUCUGAUCUUUUUCCCAAUCACUGGUCGCGCAUUUCUGACUGUGUAUUAGAAACUCAGUUCCCCAUUUGACCUUGUGUUUUCCCACCAGUGGUCACAUCUCAUGUAUGUGACUUCCCCUGUGACUGGCACCUGGCAGGGCCAUGGUAAAAUUGGUUUAUUACCCAAAUGCAUGAAAUCAUAAGUCUCUGUACCACUUAAAUGAAAUGACAAUUCUAAAUACAAAUUUAAUUCGUUUGUACUCAAGGAACAAUGCCAUUUCUAUGAACAAGACUAAAAAUAAACUGUGAAAUGAUCUUUAUCAGUCAAGAAUAAACAAAACAAAACAUUGACUACAAUCACAUCGCUCCAGCGCCAGCGUCAUCAUUUCAACAUCUAUUUGGCUUCUUUGCUUCUAGUAACUGUGUGGCUACAAUUUAUGGUUGUAAAUAUGGAUGAAAGAAAGCAUGAAGAGUUUAGAACAUAAUUGAAUUUAAAAUGUUCCUUCUGGAAAUGUCUGGUCCAAGGACUUAGGAUCCAACCUGAGUUCUUUGCAUGGGAGAUUUGGGGGAAUUUGCAAAAAAAAAAAAAAAAAAGAAAAAAGAAAAAUACUGAUUCGUGACUCAAGGAAAGGGGGCUUAUUGAUGACUCAAUUUUUUUCCUGAAAUCAAACUUCUCUUACAAGAUGGCAUUUGAGUACAUUAAAGGUAAAUAGCACGGAAACAUAUGGUUUGAAUUUCCCAUGAAAUGUGAAAGUUUUGAUAUUAAGGGAGCACAUACUUCAGAAAGAUAAUUUGGCCUCUGCUAAAACCAGAACAUUUAAGAAAUCCUUCUAGAGACUUUGCCAAAACCCAGGGCCAUUGGACUGUUUUUGCCUAGCAGCUUCCACUUCAGCCAGUACCCCUAGUGACCCGGCCAAGUGAAACAGAGAACUCAGCAUCUUCUGAGGGGAUGUCUGCCAAUCUCAACCCUGGUGAUAUGUUCAAGGGCUUCCAGCUCAUCCUGUGAGCCAAGAGAACAAUUUGAAAACGCUGGAGUCUCUUAGCAUAUCUGCUUCGGGUUACUUUGAGAGACAGUGUGUGGGAGCUGCCAGGCUGAGAACAGGAUCCAUGCUGGAAACUAUUUGCAAAAGCCCCACUUCCUUCUGCCAGGCCAGCUUCUCCGCAACCCAGACAGUCUGUGCGAGAACAAAAAAACAAGGACUAUUGUCAAAUUAAUAGCACUCCCUAAAAAAGUAUGGCAGGUGGUGAGAUUCUUGGCCAUUGAGUUCCAGCCAAAACAUUUCACAUUUUUUUCUCCUGAGGGAGGCACUGGGAGCUUGCUGUGAGUCAGAAGUGUGGGGGCUGCAGCAGAGAGUGGCCGCUUGAGCAUCUUGCCUGUUCCUGAUGAGAAUUAGUCAAUUCUUGGAAAGAGGGAAGAGCUCGCCUUGCUCUGCUACCCACUUCCAGAUUCUCUGCUCAGCCUUGGGUUGGAGAGUGAGUAAUCUAAUGUGAUUCUGUUUAUUCCACUCAAUACAUAUACAUUGACUGAGUUAUUUAUUCAGCAUCAGGCUCAAUGCUAGGUCCUGGGAAGAUAGAAAUAUAUUGGACUCACUAUUUUCCCUCAGAGGACUUAUGAAACAGUGCAAAAUUCCUCUGAAUAUGUUACAGAACAUUCAUCCUUGGGGAUGAACCAUCAAAACUAUGCCAUGUGCAAAAGUUUUAGAAAACGUUGAAUUCCCUCUCAUUCUUCAUGGAUAUACACAAUGUAAUCUCCAUGAAGAUUCAAUGUAUCUCCACACUGAAAAGCUCUGUCUUUCAGAAAAGCAACUAGCUUAACAGCUUUCUCAAAUUUUUAAUGAGUAAUACUCUCCCCUAAACACACACACACAUUUUUCUCACAUGGCUAUUACCCACAGCAACUUUAGGAAAUAACAGCCCAGUACAAAGAGCCAAACUUAUCCUUUCGGGAGACAAAGACGAUAUUUAAAGAUAACCACAAAGUAUGGAGUUAGCACAGAGGACAGUGGUAGAAAAUCAGAAGACUCUAUUGAAGAGAUGGGAUUCUAAGUAGGUUUUGAUAGAAGAAUGAAGUUUUUCAGAUAGAAAACACAGGGAUGACCCUUCCAGGCAAAGAGAAAGUCAUGUGCAAGGACAUGUUGUUUUCCCGAAUGAAGCUCUCUCCCAUUUGUAGGAAAGUGGAUGGGAGGACAGCAGAGGGAAUGCCGAGAAAGGCUAGAACCAGAUCUCAAGCUUGUUAGAUGCCAUACCACUGUUUUCAGCUGUAGGUAAAUAUUAAAAUAUGGAAAGACAGCUUUCUUUCUCCUAGUUCAAGUACCUGGUGUUUAACCCAAUGUACCUUCUUCAUGCAUUGUGUGAUGUGCUCUUUUCUACUGCAUUCAAUCAAAGCCAUCAAGCCCAAUUUUCUAUAAAAUGAAGGCCUCUGAAGAAAGGGAAGAAUGGCUCUGCUGUUCGGGAGCACUCACCCAGGAGGUACCUAGGUGCCUGGGACUGUGCAAACAAACUUGAGAGAUGUGUUUAUGCAGGGAAAAGUUGAGGUAACUCAAUGGCCUAUAUUAUGAUGGGAAUGCUGAGGAAUGAGGCAGAUUGGGGUUGAGAUUCCAAUGGGUGAGCUGGAAAUUGUCUGGGAAGGAAUGAAACCCACAUGGUAAUCCUGAACUAAGCAAAAUUUGGUGGCUGUUUGCCCUAUCAGGCACAAGGUCCUCUAGAAAGUGCAGGAGUCAGGGAGACUGGGGUCUCGUUCCAGCUGAACACAACUUGCUGUGCAAAUCAUGGGCAGAUGGCUUUCCCUGUAAAGUGAAAUGGAUUAGACCAUGAAACUCAAAGAACAUUUCAGCUCCAAUAUACUAUAAUCUAUCCAUUGUCAGCAAAUGCUCAACAUUAAGUUAAAAAUUAAAACAAAUUAUGUUCAAAUGUAUACAUUCGAAAGAUCAGUGAAAAAGGGAAUAUUAGACAGCUACAAUGUGCUAGACACCAUGCUAUGUUCUUAAUUCACCCAUAUGUCAACUGUGUAAAAGUUUCUUUCAUCCCUAUUUUGCAUAUGAGUGGAUGAAGGCUCAGAAAAGUUUUCCGAAGUUCUCUCAACUCCCAAAUGAGAGAGGCAGGGUUUGGUAGCAAGUCAGUGUGGGUGCAAAGCCCCUGCUCCUUUUUUUUUCCAUUACAGCAUCCAUCAUCCUGAAACAAAGUUUAUUAAGCACUUUGGAGUGGACUGAGGAGCAGAGUGGUCUGCCUUCCAAAGUCAAGAGGAUGCUGUUAAUGGAACAGGGGACAAAUGGAAAAUGCCAAGGCUAAGUGUUUCCUAAUGGAGUUUCUUGGCAUAGAAGUGUGGCAUCAUACAGAGGCUGCUCUGCACAAAGUAGCUUGUGGAGUCCAGCCACUGGGGCAAAGUUUCACCAACACAGGGGUAACCAGGCAAACUGGAGCCCACUCACUGGAAACAGCUGCCUCUCCCCACUCCCCCGCCUCUUUUAUCCAGGUCAGGUGGGGCUAGCUUUGCUUCAACAUGGCCAAUAAAACCUCACCCCAGAAACCUUCCCCAGUGUAACCCCAAUUUGGAGAAAAGCCAUGUGAAUUGAAGCCCAGUGGCCAAUUCGGAUUCAGUCUGAGCAAGGUCAUGAAAACACUGCAUUGCUGGCUGGUUGGUCUGCUAGGCCUCCUGUAACCAAAUAAUCACAAACCUUGUGGUUUAAACAACAGAAAUUGAUUUCUCACAAAUAUGAAAAAGUUACUUCUCACAUGUGGAAGCUAGAUGUCUAAGAUCAAGGCAUCAGCAGGUUGAGGUUGUCUCGAGGCCUCUGCCCUUGGCUUGCAGAUCACCACCUUCUUCUCACGUGGCCUUUUCUCUGUGCACAUACACUCCUGGUAUCUCCCUCUCUUCUUCUAAGGACACCAAUUGCAUUGGACUAGGGUCCAUCCCUGUGACUUCAUUUAACCUUAGUCAUCUCCAAGGCCUUAACUCCAAAUACAGUCACACUGGGGAGUGAAGAUGCCAACAUACACAUUUUGAGAGUGCACAGGUCAGGAAAGAAGGUGUUCUAGUGAAAUUUUCAUUGCAAAUAUAUUCAAAUGGAAAAACCAUGAGGGCAGUUAGCAAUGGGAUAACAUUUAGAAACACUUAGAAUAGUAGUUCUCAACGCUGGCUGCACGUGAAAUCACGUCGGGAACUUUCUAAAACUGCCAAUGUUUGGGUUCUAAUCUCGAACAUAAGAACCCCAGGGAUUGGUGUAUUAGUCAGAGAUCUCCAGAGAAACAGAACCAAUGAUGUAUGUGUGUGUGUGUGUGUGUGUGUGUGUGUGUGUGUGUGUGUCUAAAGAGAGAAAGAGACACAGAGAGAGAUUUUCAGAUAUUGGCUCAUGUGAUUAUGGAGGCUGGCAAGUCCACAGUCUGAAGAGUCGGCCAGCAGGCUGGAGACCCAGGGAAAAGCUGAUGCUGUAGCUUGAUUCUGGAGGUAGAAUUUCCUCUGCCUUUGGACAGAGCUGCCUUUUUUUCAACUGAUUGAACAAGGCCUAUCCACAUUAUGGAAGUUAAUCUGCUUCAUCCAAAGUCUACUUAUUUAAAUGUUAAUCUCAUCUAAAAACUACCUUCAUGAAUAUUUCCACACUGAUGUUUGGCCAAUAUACCAAUAUUUUGGUACCAUGUGCUAACCAAGUUGACACAUAAAAUUAACCAUCCAGCUGGUAGUCUUUUUUUUUUUUUUUUUUUUUUUAGAUGGAGUCUCACUCUGUCACCCAGGCUGGAGUGCAGUGCAGUGGUGCUAUCUCAUCUCACUGCAACCUCUGCCUCCUAGGUUCCAGUGAUUCUCCUGCCUCAGCCUCCAGAGUAUCUGGGAUUACAGGCAUGCACCACCACACCUGGCUAAGUUUUGUAUUUUUGGUAGAAAUGGGGUUUCACCAUGUUGGCCAGGGUGGUCUCAAACUCCUGACGUCAGGUGAUCCACCCACCUCGGCCUCCCAAAGUGCUGUGAUUACAGACAUGAGCAACCGUGCCUGGUCCCAGCUGGUAGUCUUUAAUAGCUCUUCUGGUGAUUCCAACAUGCCAUCAGGGUUGAGGGCUAUUGACCCAGGACCAGGGCUUUCAGAGCCAAGAAACAGGAUUCUGCCUCACAUACCAGGCUCUUUCCACCCUGCCUCAGUCAGAGGAGCCACUUUCUUCACUGGUUCCUCAGUCUCUUUUGCUCAGGUACUGGUUCUCCUUGGCUGCUCUUCUGCUGAUUUUGGGGGGAGCUUAAACAAUACUAAUGCCCAGGUUCCAAUGCAAGAGAUUUUGGUUUGCUUGGUAGGAGGUAAUCAAAAUUGCAAAUGCAGAGUACAGCCUGGGCAUCAAGGAUUUCUUCCCCAGGAAAUUCUAAACAACCAUUCAAGGAGUCCCACGUAUUUAUUCAAGCCUUCAACUUACAUUAGGUUCAUGAGAAACUUACCUUCUAAGCUGCAGUUUAUUUGUAAAUCUUGCCUCAUUAGGGAAUAUGGUAUUGCCAACAUACUUGUAUUUCCUUGAUAGGGAAAAAAUGUGUACCACAAAGUCUUCCUUAAUAAAGUGAACCACUUAGACCCUCAUGCUUGGAUAUUUAUUCCUGCCAGAAACGUGUAUUGACCAGCUUCCAUCCCAUGCCAUGUGAGCAACCCAUGCAGUCCCACAGGAGAGAAAAGGGUGAGAAGACAUUGUGUCUCUGCUUAAGAAAGUUACUGUCGAAUAGAGAAAGCAGAUAGUAAUGUCACCGUUAUACAAACAUGGUGAUUGCUGGAGGCAGGCGGUGGAGAACAAGAGCUGUAUGAGCCCAGAGUAUUUCUCAAGGUAGAAAAAGGAGUCGGGAAAGACAUGCGGGCAGACACGAGAGCUGCACUAAGGCCCAGCUGUGUGACGGUUGGUGAGGCGCUCAGGAAAUGCCAGCCUCUGGUGCUGGUGAGUCACUGAGUUCAUGGGAGGAGUGGCUGGAAAGCUGGUUUGAGAUUAGAUAGUAGAGAGCCUCGUAAGCUAGACUAAGGAGUUGGAAGUUUUUAAAAUAAGCUCUAAGGUUUUUAUGAGAGAUAGAAUUUACCAAUGUUUUAACAAAAAUUAUAUGAAAGCAAGCAAAGGGCAGCAUUGGGAAGAGGGAGGGCAGACUCAAAGGAAGGUUCUAGAAACAUCCAGGGAAACAAUUACAAAGACCUGAACUAGGGAAUUGACAAUGGAAAUUAACAGAAUGGAAAAGAUGGAAAGCAGGAAAUAGACGAGCCUAGGUAAGUGGCAGAGCCAGCACUUGAAUCAGGGUCUUGGCUCUCAUUUAACAUGCACCCAAACAGAAACAUGCAGACACACACACAGACACACACACACACAUAGACACAUGAACACCUGCUCACACACACACACACGCAUACACGCAUGCAGAGACACAGACACACACAGAUACACAUGCAUACAGGCACACACAGAGACACAGACACAGGCACUUGCACAGACACACACGCACACACACACACCGAGGGCAGAAUAUGUGCCACUCACUGGCCAGAUCCUGGGGACAUAGAGAUAGAUAUGGUUGCUGGCCUCAUGGUGCUUACAGUUGAGAGGGGGAAAUUGAUAGAUAGAAAGCCAGAGAACGUUACUGAAAUAAGCAAAGGAGAAAGACAGGUGGACCAGACUUACAGGGGAUAAAGCUUUUGGGAUAAAGCUUCUCGAAUGAAAAAAACAUCUAAGAGGGUAUCAGAAAAGUCAGUGGGAGUGAAAGGCUAGAAGGGCAGACAGGGGAGGGAGGUUGGGCUCCAGGCAGAGGGAAUGGCAGGUGGGAAGCCCAGAAGUGACAUUGCGAGAGCACACAUGAGUGCGUCUAACUCCACUGAAUGAGCUUGGUAUGGCACCACCAAGCGGUAGCAAAGAUGGUGGUGGGAAAGGAACCUGGAGAGGUGAGCAGGGCAAAUUUGACAGUGCCUAUCUCCGUCCUGGAACUGACUCUCUGCGGAGCUCUGAACAAUGGCAAAGGCGUGCACCCCUCUUCUCCCCAGCAGGCUGCUCACAGCUAUGCCUAGAAUAGAGCACAUGGUCUGUUCAGCAAAGGAGUGAACUGUUCAAAGGAUAUUUUAAUGAUAAAGGAGGAAAUAUUCUUCUGUAUGAAAAUAUUGUAGAAAAAAAGUGGGUCACUUCAACCUGGCAAAAUAUGAAUAUGGGAUUAGAUGUGUAAAUCCAUGGCAGAUUUAAAGUGAGGGUAUGAAUUCUCAAUAGAUAUUCAUAGUCUUAAAGAAAAAUAUCCGGCCAGGCGCAGUGGCUCACGCCUGUAAUCCCAGCACUUUGGGAGGUCAAGGCUGACAGAUCACCUGAGGUCAGGAGUUUGAGACCAGCCUGGCCAAUGUGGUGAAACCCUGUCUCUACGAAAAAUACAAAAAUUAGCUGGGUGUGGUUGUGGGCGCCUGUAAUCCCAGCUACUUGGGAGGCUGAGGCAGGAGAAUCACUUGAAUCCGGGAGGCAGAGGUUUCAGUGAGCUGAGAUCAUACCAUUGCACUCCAGCCUGGGCAACAGAGCAAGACUCUGUAUCCAAAAAAAAAAAAAAAAAAAAAUCCAAGCUCCUUAAAAUGGGGAAGAUCAUGACAGCAACAGCCUCAGGUCUGUGUCUGGCCUCAUUGGUCACCUUCCUCUGCUGCAGGUCUACUGAACCACUUGUGCUUAUCAGGUUGUGCCGAAUUCUUUCCCUCUUCUUCCAUUCACAUCCCCAUCUUGCCUACCUGGUAAACUCCCAGUUGCUCUUCUAGUCUCAACUCAAGUGCUGACUUCUCUAAGAGAUGGUCUUAAACUCCUCAUAAGACAAAGUCAGAUAACUCCUUCUUCAAGCUAAAAUAGUAUAUUCCUAUUUGAUUAUGUGCCACAUUGGAUUCUGAACACCUGCCUAGAGGUCUGGGUGCCCCGUCACCUGGAAACUCAUGUUGUAUCCAUUUCUAAACUUUUAGGGGUUGAAGCUACAACAAUCAAUAAGGAUAGGCACCCUGUUUACCUAAGUACAAUAUUUUUCUCAAUCUUUAUAAUACACAAUGCUACAGUCUUUUUUUGUAGUAAAACUAAAUCCAAAUAAAUAAGUGGUAAAACUGAGCUGUGAGACCAAAGCUCCUGCUCUUCAUCACUGGCCAGUCCAGAUUCCAGGAUGCUGUGGUUUGAAUAUGGUUUGUUUGGCCCUGCUAAGUCUCAUAUUAAAAUUUGAUCCCCAUUGUGGGAGGUAAGGUUGCAUAGGGUGGGAGGCAUUUGGAUCCUGGGGGUGAGGUUGGGUCCCUCAUGAACGUCAUGGUGCCUUUCUCAUGGGAGUGUGAGUUCUUACUUUUGGUUCCCCUGAAAACUGGUUGCUAAAAAGAGCCUGGCGCCUCCUCCUCUCCCUCUUGCUUCCUCUCUUGCCAUCUGACUUCUGCAUAGGCUGGCUCCUCCUCAACUACUGCCGUGAGUGGAAGCAGCCUGAAGCCUCACCAGAAGCAAGUGUGGGCGCCAUGCUUUUUGUACAGCCUGCAGAACCAAAUAAACCUCUUUUAUUUAUAAGUUACCCAGUCUCAGGUAUUGCUUUACAGAAACACAAACAGACUGACACAGGAAUAGAAUAAUUUCAAUGAAUAAAUAAAUAGAAUCUUAUAACCAAAUCAUAGAAGUGGCAGCUCCCUUUUAAAACUUAGUGUUCCUUUCAAAACAUAUUCCUAACAUAGCACAAUAACUACUCGUUUGAUAAAUCCAUGCAACUUGAGGUUAUCUAGUACAGGGCUGAGGUGUGCAUAAUUUAAUUCUCCACUUUUCUGGCACUGGGGCUCCAGCUGAGGGAGAUUUCUAGGUAAAUGGGCACUGUCCAUGUUAGUGCACUCUUGGGGGAUACAGAUGGCACACUGGACAUUGACCACAGUUAAUUUUGCUGAAUGCUUCCUGGGCAAUAAUGGUUUCUCUGCUGUUUUAAAAUGUUAGAAGCUGCAGUGGGGUAACUGCUUUCCAAGCUGAAUGUUUGACAUCUGCUUGUCAUCAAACUUUAUUCAAACUAAGCUAAGGCAGGUCACUGUGGCUCACACCUGUAAUCCCAACACUUUGAAAGGCUGAGGCAAGAGGAUUGCUUGAGGCCAGGAGUGCAAGACUAGCCUGGACAAUAUAGGGAGGUCCUAUCUCUACAAAAAAUAAAAUAAUUAGCUAAGCAUGAUAGUGCAUGCCUGUAGUCCCAGUUACUCAGGAGGCUGAGGUGGGAGGAUUGCUUGAGCCCAGGAGGUUGAGGCUGCAAUGAGCUAUGAUUGCACCACUGCACUCCAGCCCUGGUGACAGAGCAAGACCUUGUCUGAAAACAAAACAAACAAGCAGACUAAGCUGGUACCUAGAAUACCUGUCCUCUUUCCAAAGUAACAAUGAUAACAACAGCUACUACUACUUAUUAGUCGCUUAUACCAUGUGGCAAGCAGUGUUAUGAAUCAAGAAGUAUAUCAUCCCAGUUCACACAGCUACAUUACAAAAACUGUUAUUCAUCCCAAUUCACACAGCUACUAAAUAAUGAAGGCGAUAUUUAAAUGCUUAAAUUGGAUGUUUCUAGAACAGAGGCUGUCCAUAGCAGCAUCCACAGAAUACCUAGCUACUUUUGUUUCAAAUGUCCUGUACCUGUGCUUUCUUUCUCUUCACUCUUUAGAGAGGCAGGUUUUUUUAAAAAAGUGGCUCAUGGUUCCCUCUUAGCUGCGGCAUAAAUCAUUAAAGUCACCAUGACUCUGCCCAGGUCACCACUCCAGUCUCCUCUCCUGCAAUGCCUCCAUGCCCUGUGCCAGACCAACCCCACUCAGGCCAGGUACUCCUCUCUUAGGCCUCCUAUGCUUUAUCCAUGGCAGCCCAUUGGCUUUGAGCAUCCUUUCCCUUCUUUUCUCCAGGCAAAACCCUGCUCAUUUUUCUAUCCCAGAUCCUUUGUUACUCACUCUACGCAGGAGAGAGCUCUAAUCCACUAGCACCUGUGAGGCACACAACACAUAUGGCACUUUAUACAAUUCUCUGUUCACUUUUAUGUCUUCCUCACCUGACCAUGAUAACUUUUAGGAGAAAACACUUUGUUUUAAUGCAUCUCUUUCUACUUAAUCCUCACACAUGGGCUGAUGUGUAGUAGGCUUUCUGCAAAUUCCAUUCAUUCAUUAAUUCAACAAAUAUUUAUUGAUUAUCUUUUUAUGUUUUAGCCAUGGUAAUUAUUGCUAAAGACAAAUAUAACAUAACCCCUGCCCUUUAGUUAUGAAAUUUUCAAUGUCAAGUAACUGGAAAUGCUGACCCAACUGAACUAAACGAAAAGGAAAAUUGGAAAGGAUUUUCUGGCCCCUAGGGUCAGUUCAGCUGCUCAACGGCAUCAUCAAGACCCAGGUUCUUUCCACAUUUCUUCUACCAACUCAAGCAUGUAGGCUAAGAACCACUCUUAGGUCAUAAGGCAGCUACGACAGUUCCAAGAAGCACAUCUAGGCACAAUUAUAUCUAGGGAAUAAUUACCUGUCUUUCUUUUAAUCAGCAAAGAAAACACUUCUAUGCUCCCAGCAAGACUCACCUGGCCAUGCCUAAGUCAACACCCUCAAGAGGCAGUAGAUGAGUGAACAUGUAAGUGCUGUCAGCCUCCAGGGAUGGAUAAGGCUUGCUUCCUCUGACUGCAUGUCUGCCUGGAAAAUGGGAGGACAGUGAGUUUUAGGCGGACAACCAAAAUUGUUAUCUACAAGAAGUUUACAGACAUGGAGGUUCACAAACAAGAAGCUCAUACCCAGUCUUGACAUAUAAAAAGAGGUGGGAAUAAGUGUUAUUAUCAUGAUGAAAUCAACGUGCUGCUGCGAGGGAGACUAAUUCAGGCCAAGGUCCAGGUGACAUCUGAGCUGCAGAUUUCAUAUUAAAGGUGACAUCUUAGUUGCGCCUUAAUUUAAAAAGAAUAUGAUUUUGACUGCUGGAUAAAGGGGAAAAGACCGGGGAAGGCAAAUAGAUGACCACAUUGCUCAUGGAGAAAGUGAUUCUUUUCAAGUGACUCAUUCAAAAUGGCUGCUGCAUAGCACAUGAUGAGAAAUGCCUGUGACAGAUGAGGCAGAAGAAAUGACCUCUUUAGCAUGAUGGUUACUUGAACUCAGGAGAACCAGGAACACCUUUGUUUGGUGGUGAACUUCAUCUUGAAAUCUUUGGCCUUAGCAGCCUACAGAUGCUGAGUGAUUGUUAAAUGGACAAGUGUAUUUGCAGGGAAAUUCAAUUCCUGUUUUAAAAUUACUUAUUCCUCCCAUCUGACAAGGGAUUCAUAACCAGAAUAUACAAGGAGCUCAAACAACUCUAUAGGGAAAAAAAUCUAAGAAUCUGAUCAAAAUGGGCAAAAGUUCUGGAUAGACAUUUCUUAAAAGAAGACAUACAAGUGGCCUAUGAAGAGGUUCUCAACAUCGUGUAUCACUAGAGAAAUGCAAAUAUAAACUGCAAUGAAAUAUCAUCUCAUUCUGGUUAAAAUGGCCUGUAUCCAAAAGACACGCAAUAGCAAAUGCUGGUGAGGAUGUGGAGAAAAGGGAUCACGUGUACACUGUGGGAAUGUAAAUUAGUACAACCACCAUGAAGAUCAGUUUGUAGGUUCCUCAAAAAAACUAAAAAUUGAGCUACCAUAUGAUCCAGCAAUCCCACUGUGGGGCAUAUACUCGAAAGAAAGGAAAUCAGUGAGUCAAAGAGAUAUCUGCACUUCUACGUUGCAACACUGUUUAUAAUAACUAAGAUUUAGAAGCAAUGUAAGUGUUCAUCAACCAAUGAAUGGGUAAAGAAAAUGUGGUACAGAUACACAGUGGAGUACUAUUCAGCCAUAAAAAAGGAGAUCCUGUCAUUUGCAACAACAUGGGUGGAACUGGAGAUCAUUACAUUAAGCAAAAUAAACCUGGAACAGAAAGACAAACAUCACAUGUUCUCACCUAUUUGUGGGAUCUAAAAAUCAAAACAAUUGAACUCAUGGACAUAGAGAGUGGAAGGAUGGUUACCAGAGGCUGGGAAGGGUGGUGGGGGGCUGGAGGGGAGGCAGGGAUGGUUAAUGGGUACAAAAAAAUAGAAAGAAUAAAUAAGACUUACUAUUUGAUAGCACAACACAGUGACUAUUAAAUAGUAGCUUAAUUGCACAUUUUAAAAUAAAGAGUGUAAUUGGAUUGUUUAUAACUCAAAGGAUAAACGCUUGAGGGGAUAGAUACCUCAUUCUCCAUGAUGUGCUCAUUUCACAUUGCAUGCAUGUAUCAAAACAUCUCAUGUGUGCCAUAAAUACAUCUACGAUGUACCCACAAAAAU